This 310-nucleotide long non-coding RNA is filed under the name Dromaius novaehollandiae (emu). RNAcentral describes it as "lncRNA (ENSDNVG00000003651.1)". Lineage: Eukaryota; Metazoa; Chordata; Aves; Casuariiformes; Dromaiidae. The record is from RNAcentral.
CAUGAUACUCACAUCUUUGACUUCUCUGGUUCUCUGUUUAUUCAGAAAAAGCACUUGAAGUCGGUGGCUGAAAAGAAAGUAAAUGAUCAUAAAAUUGUCUUCUGAGAAGAUUAGCAGCCCAGGGAAGCAGCACCGUACCAGCAAGRAUUUCUUUAUCGCUGAACUGAAUUGAUUGCUGGUGUGGGACUGCGUGAUUAUUAGCGUGGGACUACUUGUACACUGCUAUACACUGUGAGUAAAUGUGGCUUUUUUGGGUGCAGAGGAAUUGUGUAAGGGCCUGAUCCRUGGCACGGGAGGACAUGACUUGUUC